AUGUCAGCUGGGAUGCACUUAAGCUUCCUGCAGCUGUUCGCCGUGGUUCUCGUGUUCUGCUUCGCACCCGCCAAGUCCGGCUACUGGCUCCCGGCCCAUGCCACGUUCUACGGCGGCGCCGACGGAUCUGACACAAUGGGUGGCGCGUGUGGGUACGAGAACUUGUACAACGCGGGGUACGGGAUCAACAACGCCGCGCUAAGCACGGCACUGUUCAACAACGGCUUGUCGUGCGCACAGUGCUACCUCAUCACCGACAAUGGCGGGUGGUGCAACCCUCCACGUGUCCACUUCGACAUGUCCCAACCCGCCUGGGAGAACCUCGCCAUCUACCGCGCCGGCAUUGUCCCCGUCCUCUACCAGCAGGUCGCGUGCCAGAGGCAGGGCGGCCUGCGCUUCACCAUGAACGGCUUCAACUACUUCAAGCUUGUGCUAGUGACCAACAUGGCCGGGAGCGGGUCGGUCAAGAGCAUGUUGGUGAAGGGAACCAACACGGCAUGGAUCCCCAUGUCCCAGAACUGGGGCGCUAACUGGCAGUGCCUAGCCGGGCUGACAGGACAGGCCCUCAGCUUCGCCAUCACCUCCUCCGGCGGCCAGUACAAGGUCUUCCAGGACAUGGUACCGGCCUGGUGGCUGUUCGGACAGACCUUCACUACCUGGCAGCAGUUCGACUACUAG
This 678-nucleotide ribosomal RNA is filed under the name Triticum aestivum (bread wheat). Its description in RNAcentral is "partial small subunit ribosomal RNA". The record is from RNAcentral. Lineage: Eukaryota; Viridiplantae; Streptophyta; Magnoliopsida; Poales; Poaceae.